AACGAACGCUGGCGGCGUGCUUAACACAUGCAAGUCGAACGCGAAAGGGACUUCGGUCCCGAGUAGAGUGGCGCACGGGUGAGUAACGCGUAAGUAAUCUACCCCUGUAUCUGGAAUAACCCACCGAAAGGUGAGCUAAUACCGGAUACGUUUAUCUUGAUGCGAAUGAUGAUAAAGAAAGGUGGCCUCUUCAUGAAAGCUACCGUACAGGGACGAGCUUGCGUACCAUUAGCUGGUUGGUAGGGUAAUGGCCUACCAAGGCGACGAUGGAUAGCGGGUCUGAGAGGAUGAUCCGCCACACUGGAGCUGAAACACGGACCAGACUCCUACGGGAGGCAGCAGUGAGGAAUAUUGCGCAAUGGGGGCAACCCUGACGCAGCGACGCCGCGUGGACGAUGAAGGCCCUUGGGUCGUAAAAUCCUGUCAGAUGGAAAGAAAUGUACAGGUGUUAAUAUCGCCUGUAUUUGACGGUACCAUCAAAGGAAGCACCGGCUAACUCCGUGCCAGCAGCCGCGGUAAUACGGAGGGUGC
This 531-nucleotide ribosomal RNA is filed under the name Desulfobulbaceae bacterium enrichment culture clone H9. Its description in RNAcentral is "bacterial SSU rRNA". It matches the Rfam family "Bacterial small subunit ribosomal RNA", at positions 29 to 535 of the family's 1533-position model. Lineage: Bacteria; Pseudomonadati; Thermodesulfobacteriota; Desulfobulbia; Desulfobulbales; Desulfobulbaceae. The record is from RNAcentral.